Long non-coding RNA from Xenopus laevis (African clawed frog), 769 nucleotides. RefSeq lists it as uncharacterized. The transcript has 3 exons. Lineage: Eukaryota; Metazoa; Chordata; Amphibia; Anura; Pipidae. The record is from RefSeq and is a predicted model, not a curated record.
UAAUCACCUGCUUUGAGGCCACUGGGAGCAACAUCCAAGGAGCUGGGGAGCAACAUGUUACUCAUGAGCUACUGGUUGGGGAUCACUGCUCUAGGUGAUACUGUCAGCAGCCACUUUCACUCUUCUCCUUGUUUAAGUCUUUUAUUUCAGGCACAGACUGGAUCAGACAGCUUGCACUCGGCCCCUUUCAGUGACGAUGCCCAGGGUCAGUAGGUGGGACAGCAAAUACAAACAUGGCCGCCGCAAAUACUGCCAGGAAGGAUUUUGUAAAUGGAAAAGCUGAUGCUUUGGCAGGUUUAGCCUAAUAUCUAAGCACAGCAGCAGCGACAAGAUGGUGCCAAUGGGCUCAGAACAACGUGUUGACCUACAAAUGUAUUGGAGUUACAGUCCAGGGAGGUGCCGGCUCUUCUCUGAAGGUCCCACAGAGAGAAAGAGUUGUCGGCGGUAAAAGAAUCAGAGAAAACUGGGAAGCUGAUGUUGCUAGGAAACCGUUAUGACAACAAACACUGGAAAAUUGUUAGAGCCAUUAUGACAUCACCAACUGGACAGCUGUUUUUGCUAGAGAACCAUUAUGACAUCACCAACAGGAAAGCUUGUUGCUAGAGAACCAUUAUGACAUCACAGUACUAAUAAUCUAGUAUCUGACCAACAGUUAGUCCAAUGGUUAUUUAGUCGUGUUGGAGCCAGGAGAGGUAAGCACAUCACUUUCUCUCUUCUCAAUAUUCUGAGCCAAACAGAUAUAUGACACAAAAAACAUUAUUAUAUAACU